Molecule: ribosomal RNA, 253 nt
Filed under: uncultured bacterium
Lineage: Bacteria
Description: partial 16S ribosomal RNA
Rfam family: Bacterial small subunit ribosomal RNA
Source: RNAcentral
GACGAACCGUGCGAACGUUGUUCGGAAUCACUGGGCUUAAAGGGCGCGUAGGCGGGUUUGCAAGUCUGCGGUGAAAGCCCCCAGCUUAACUGGGGAAGUGCCGUGGAUACUGCGGACCUUGAGGAGGGUAGGGGCAUCUGGAACAUUGGGUGGGGCGGUGAAAUGCGUUGAUAUCCAAUGGAACUCCGGUGGCGAAGGCGAGGUGCUGGACCCUUUCUGACGCUGAGGCGCGAAAGCCAGGGGAGCAAACGGG